This 305-nucleotide unclassified non-coding RNA is filed under the name plant metagenome. RNAcentral's name for it is "partial contains 5.8S ribosomal RNA, internal transcribed spacer 2, and large subunit ribosomal RNA". The stretch from base 1 to 105 matches the Rfam family "5.8S ribosomal RNA", at positions 50 to 154 of the family's 154-position model. The record is from RNAcentral.
GAAAUGCGAUAAGUAGUGUGAAUUGCAGAAUUCAGUGAAUCAUCGAAUCUUUGAACGCAUAUUGCGCCCCUUGGUAUUCCAUGGGGCAUGCCUGUUCGAGCGUCAUCUACACCCUCAAGCUCUGCUUGGUGUUGGGCGUCUGUCCCGCCCCCGCGCGUGGACUCGCCCCAAAUCCAUUGGCAGCGUUCCUUGCCCCCUCUCGCGCAGCACAUUGCGCUUCUCGAGGGCGGCUCCGGGACGCGAUCCAGCAAGAUGACCACCGUCUUUGACCUCGGAUCAGGUAGGGAUACCCGCUGAACUUAAGC